CAGCAGGCCAGGCAGCAUCUCUAGGAAGAGGUACAGUCGACGUUUCAGGCCGAGACCCUUCGUCAGGACUAACUGAAGGAAGAGGAGGGCCAGGUGAUUCCCAGGAGGAGGUUUCCUGGUGCCAGGGACUCAUUGUUGGAGGGAAUGGCAACUACAGGAGUCCGUGCAUGGCAAUUGGGAAGGAGAAUCCACACUAGCCAGCGCAGGAGUCUCUGUGGAAUACAUCAGGAAGAGAAGGGCCCAUCAGCGGUAAAUUCGCGGCUAGGCUGCCCGCC
This is a long non-coding RNA of Mobula hypostoma (lesser devil ray), 275 nucleotides long. RefSeq lists it as uncharacterized. The transcript is spliced from 3 exons. NCBI's taxonomy places the organism in Eukaryota, Metazoa, Chordata, Chondrichthyes, Myliobatiformes, Myliobatidae. The record is from RefSeq and is a predicted model, not a curated record.